This 624-nucleotide ribosomal RNA is filed under the name uncultured Pyronemataceae. Its description in RNAcentral is "eukaryotic LSU rRNA". The stretch from base 227 to 380 matches the Rfam family "5.8S ribosomal RNA". The record is from RNAcentral. Lineage: Eukaryota; Fungi; Ascomycota; Pezizomycetes; Pezizales; Pyronemataceae.
UCUUGGUCAUUUAGAGGAAGUAAAAGUCGUAACAAGGUUUCCGUAGGUGAACCUGCGGAAGGAUCAUUAACAAAUUACAACGUUUGUUGAAACACACUCUGCGUAUCUUUACAUGUUGCUUCCCCCCGCCCUGGGCUAGCUUCCGGGACGGGGGGGAGGGAGCCCCAAACCCGUGCAAUCGAUGUGAUCGGUCUGAAGAAAAACCUGUUUGCAUUCAAACGUUUAAAACUUUCAACAACGGAUCUCUUGGUUCUCCCAUCGAUGAAGAACGCAGCGAAAUGCGAUAAGUAGUGUGAAUUGCAGAAUUCAGUGAAUCAUCGAAUCUUUGAACGCACAUUGCGCCCUCUGGCAUUCCGGGGGGCAUGCCUGUUCGAGCGUCAUCAAAACCACUCAGGCCGCGCUUCUUCGAAGCCCCAGCUUGGUCUUGGGCCUGAGGGUAUCAGAACCCUCUGCCUGCAAUGCAGUGGGCGGAUAUUCCGGCACGGGCAAGAGCGUGAUAAACACAUCGUUCGCGAUUGCACGCCGGGAAGGUCCCGCCAUCAUGAACCCCCGAAUCCAUUUUCAAGUUUGACCUCGGAUCAGGUAGGGAUACCCGCUGAACUUAAGCAUAUCAAUAAGCGGAGG